GCGCAGCAGUCGCGAAACCUCCGCAAUACACGAAAGUGUGACGGGGCCAUCCCGAGUGCCGUCCGCUGAGGACGGCUUUUCCCCAGUGUACACAGCUGGGGGAAUAAGGAGAGGGCAAGCCUGGUGUCAGCCGCCGCGGUAAUACCAGCUCUCCGAGUGGUGGGGACGCUUAUUGGGCCUAAAGCAUCCGUAGCCGGCUGGGCAAGUCCUCCGUUAAAUCCAACGAUUCAAUCGUUGGGCUGCGGGGGAUACUGUCCAGCUUGGGGGCGGGAGAGGCCGACGGUAUUCCCCGGGGUAGGGGUGAAAUCCUAUAAUCCCGGGAGGACCACCAGUGGCGAAGGCUGUCGGCUAGAACGCGCCCGACGGUGAGGGGAUGAAAAGCUGGGGGGAGCGAACCGGAUUAGAUACCCCGGUAGU
This 417-nucleotide ribosomal RNA is filed under the name uncultured microorganism. Its description in RNAcentral is "bacterial SSU rRNA". It matches the Rfam family "Archaeal small subunit ribosomal RNA", at positions 330 to 745 of the family's 1478-position model. The record is from RNAcentral.